Molecule: ribosomal RNA, 253 nt
Filed under: uncultured bacterium
Lineage: Bacteria
Description: partial 16S ribosomal RNA
Rfam family: Bacterial small subunit ribosomal RNA
Source: RNAcentral
UACAGAGGGUGCAAGCGUUGUUCGGAAUUACUGGGCGUAAAGGGCGCGUAGGCGGUUUAGUAAGUCAGAUGUGAAAGCCCGGGGCUCAACUCCGGAAUUGCAUUUGAAACUGCUAGGCUAGAGUGCAGUAGAGGAUGGCGGAAUACCCAGUGGAGAGGUGAAAUUCGUAGAUAUUGGGUGGAACACCGGUGGCGAAGGCGGCCAUCUGGGCUGUAACUGACGCUGAGGCGCGAAAGCGUGGGGAGCAAACAGG